AAAAAAGCAAAAUUUUUCAAUACAUGAAAGAACCCAACCUUUAAACUUAUCUAUCUAUGGUACUGGGGUUGAACCCAGAGCCUUUUCAGUGAGCUACAUCCCCAGUUCUUCUUUAAAUUUUUUAUUUUGAGACAGGGUCUUGCUAAGUUACUAAAUCACCUAGGCUGGGCUGGAACUUGAGAUCCUCCUGCUUCAGCCUCCCAGUGCUGGGAUGACAAGUGAGUGCCACUGUGCCCAGUUCGAUCAUGCAUAUUUUUCUAUAAAUGCUGUUGGGAUCUAUUUUUUUCUAUUUAUAAUAUGUUGGGUAUAUUUCAAAUGAUCAAAGUAUUCUAUGUUUAAAUGCCAAUAAUGCCAGGUGUGGUGGGGCAAACCUGUAAUCCCAGCACUCAGGAGGCUCAGGCAGGAUGAUCGCUUCGAGUUCUAGGUCAGUUUGGACUAUACAGCAAAACUCUCUCUCCAAAAAAAGCACCAAUAAUUAUAAUAUGAAGAAAACGUCCUCCAGCCUAAAUAAUCAGUUUAAUUAUGAAAUAUUAGUCGUAAACUUUAAAGUGUGCUGGAGUGACCCUUCCCCAUAACCCAUAGAUCUUAGGUUAAAGAGCGGAGUCUGACUAGACGUCCUCCCUGGGGUCUGCGCAGGGCAGUGCCCACCGGGCUCCAGGCCUCGCCUGUCAGAGUUGCGCCUGCGCCGGCUGAAGGCUUUCCCGCGACCAGACCCGCUCCUGGGUGUUCCCGCCAGUCACCUGGAGGCCCUCGCGUGGCUCCCGGUCCGCCGGUCUGCGUGGGGCCCCGCGGCCCCGCGGGUCCCUGGCACCAGGCGAUCACAGCAGCUGACGUCACGGUAUUACUGAAUUCACUUCCGGUUCCCGGCCACGAAUUCUGGGGCGAAUUCUCCUCUACCGCACGCUGGCUAUCGUGGCUGGAGACCCUUUCAACCUCUUCUCUCCACACUGCGAGCCCGAUGAGAAAAACAUGAAGCCAGUGGUGGAGAACAUGGGAAUACUUGAAUGCUUUGUGCAUCCGAAUUCCACGGAGAAACUCAGAAAGAAAAUGGAAGUCUAACAGACAUAUGUACAAAGAAGUUAAGAGAACAUUACUAAUCAGAAUACUUUUUGUCAGGUAAAAGGGCCGAAGACCAAGACGAGACCAAGCCACAACAAGCCUUUAUUAGGGGGAAUAGAUCUGCCGAGCUGUUUCUGAACAGAGACAAAAGCAAUAUGGCCGGGGCAGGGAGAGUCUUUUACGGAGACUGGGGUGGGGUUUGUAGGGGCUGAGGCGGGGUUGAGUGAGAUAGUGACUAGGGAAUGGAGCCCAUGAGGUCACUAGGUGGUAGAAGGUGAGCGAGUAUUAGGUUACUGUCUAGGCGGGAACAGGGGCAUGCUGGGAUGAAGGGUUUAUUCUUCGGUGGGAGCAACCAUCUUGGCAUGACGUCACACAGGGGAGGGGGCAAGGCACGAUAGGAAGGGGGCAGCUACUAUACAUAAUAGCUCCUGGGGUAGUGGGAGACCUAUCACUUUUUAAUGGGUGUCUAUAGUUUGAUAAGAAAAUGUAAACUCCCCUAAGCAAUGGGAAUUUCCAGUACAAAAAAGCAAAAGGAAACACGUUAAUACAAAUGUGCUCGAGAUGGAACUGUUUUAUUCUUUUACUUUGCGAUUGAAAAUAACCUUGUUUGGAAGUCCCUGAAGCCUUUUACACCUUAUUUUGCCUCCUUACCCCUUACAAGCCUUUUAGCUAACUUUAAAUUCCAGAAACAGGGCAUUGGUUGAUAUUGAUGGGGGGGGGAGAUGAAUAUUACAGGAUUUUUUCCAAGAAAGGAAAAUAGAAAAACUAUACUUUACCUGUUUUUUCUUUCUGAAAAGGAAAUAUAACAAAGAUAAACCAGAAAAUAUUGAAGCUGGUUACCUAAAAAGAUGGUAGCAGUUUUGAAAAAAGAGGGCUGUGGGAAGCACAUUUCUUUGAGUAUACUUUUUGCUAUGUCUUUAGCUUUUUGGUUUGUUUUGUUUUUGAGACAGGCAGGCCUUCAACUCACUAUGUAGCACAGGCUGCCCUCCAACUCACGUGUGAUCCUCCUGCCUCAGCCGCAGAAGUGCUCAACCUCAACCUUACAAGCUUGUGCCACCACACCUGGCUUUGUCUUUAACUUUUGAAGCCAUGUGAAUGUUCUACAUUUUCAAAAGUUAGUAUUCAAUUGACAAAAAACUACUGAAAGCAACCACGGCAAAGGAACUCAGUUCUACUCCACACCUUCAACACAUGAAGAGGAAGCACACGAUCCGUGCUCAGAGUAUAGCACAGUUUGCCUCAUGCUGGGUCGAGGGGUGUGGGUGGGGCUGGAGAACUGUAAACAAAUGCCGACUUCUUUUUAGUGGAUGUUUUUCGGUAAUAGAUGGGCAAAGCAAUCCUGAAACUAUGGCAGGGGCAAUCUAGGGCUGCCAGAGACCCCUGUAGUCAGGUUCCAGUCCCCACCUGCCCAGUGUGUGAUGCAGGCCUGAGAAAAAGAAUACACUGAGACAGAACUAGGAGAGAGAGCGGGCGCCAGGACGACCGGGUGCCGUGCGACCGACAAAGGCCCUGGCCCGUCCCAGGCACUGACUUUUACUGGUAAUCAAAUGGGGUAAAGGUGGCUGUGGUUUCUAUGGGAA
Molecule: long non-coding RNA, 2639 nt
Filed under: Heterocephalus glaber (naked mole-rat)
Lineage: Eukaryota; Metazoa; Chordata; Mammalia; Rodentia; Bathyergidae
Description: lncRNA (ENSHGLG00000039023.1)
Source: RNAcentral